AUGCUUGAGAUGCUCCUUGCAAACCUUGGCGUAGGCCCACCCCAGUAUGAGAAUGUUGUCCAUGAGGACAAUAAGGUUCGCAUUACUGUUAACUUCAACACUUCUAGUCUGGAUCCUGGAGGCUCAAUUGUCGACGUGUCUGUGCCUGGAGAGUAUUGCAUAGAUGAGGUCACUGCCGGAGAUAGCGCUGCUAUUAAAGCAGUCAGAUACAUAGAGACCAUGACCAACACAGUUGUCAGAGACAUAAACUAUGCAAAAACAAAGCGCCAGGAAAAUCGUAUCACCUUCCUUGAAAAACGGCUCAAAGAAUCAGAAAUCAAAGGCAAGAAGCUUACCAGAGGUUGGCACCUAUCUACCAGAGAUAUGUACUACUUUUCUGAACAAAUGCGAAAUGCGGCUGGAACCUCCCUUUUGGAGAUCUCCCAGAUAUAA
This 432-nucleotide ribosomal RNA is filed under the name Triticum aestivum (bread wheat). RNAcentral's name for it is "partial small subunit ribosomal RNA". The record is from RNAcentral. Lineage: Eukaryota; Viridiplantae; Streptophyta; Magnoliopsida; Poales; Poaceae.